Molecule: transfer RNA, 72 nt
Filed under: Eutypa lata UCREL1
Lineage: Eukaryota; Fungi; Ascomycota; Sordariomycetes; Xylariales; Diatrypaceae
Description: tRNA-Gly (CCC) (tRNA-Gly-CCC-1-1)
Rfam family: tRNA
About the family: Transfer RNA (tRNA) molecules are approximately 80 nucleotides in length.
Source: RNAcentral
GCACUGCUAGUGUAGCGGUUAUCAUCCUCGCUUCCCAAGCGAGGGACCCGCGUUCGACUCGCGGGCAGUGCA